UGAAUUUUUUUCACAAUCAUU
Molecule: non-coding RNA, 21 nt
Filed under: Caenorhabditis elegans
Lineage: Eukaryota; Metazoa; Nematoda; Chromadorea; Rhabditida; Rhabditidae
Source: RNAcentral